This 2031-nucleotide unclassified non-coding RNA is filed under the name Hevea brasiliensis (rubber tree). Lineage: Eukaryota; Viridiplantae; Streptophyta; Magnoliopsida; Malpighiales; Euphorbiaceae. The record is from RNAcentral.
UACGAUUUAAUUAACUUUGGAUAUGCAAUGUGUUUUGUAUUAGAGUUUUAGAUUUAAAGAUUAAUUCAUUUUUAAAAAAGAUUUAAAUAUUAAUUGAGUUCUUAAACAUAAAGUUCAUUCGUUAACUUUCCACUACAUUGCCCGCGACGCACUAAAGGAGACAUUUAUCCGUCUCACGGACCGGAGGACAAAACUGCGUGUCGUUUCCCCAGGUCGAAGAAGAAGACCCAACUCUUGUCAUCAAAUUGGGAGGAAAAUAAAUAAAUUAAAUAAAUAUAGCUACAGUGCACCGCCUCCACUUGCGCACUUUAGCUCGGGCAGCCAGCCUCCUCCAUCACUUUACGGUUUUCAGAUUCCUCAAUGUUUAAAUGCUCUCCUCUUUCUCCCGUCUCUUUCAUUUUGUACAUUUUCUUUUUCAUCUAAUAGCCACAUAUGUGCAAAACCAAACUGGCGAUCAACGAGCCAGACCCCAACUCAGUCCGCUCCUCCCGAACUCGUCCCAGUCAGCCUUCCCGGACUCUCCCCGCUCAAUCUCCAAGCACCCCUCCCUCACCGAGAUUGCCAACCUUCACCUCCUCCUCCUCCUACUCCUCCUUCUCAGCUCCCUCAACCUCCAGCACCUCCGGUGCGUUCAACUCAACAAGUUCGUCUUCCACCUUCUCCAGCCGAACCUCUCUCUCCGGUCUCCGCCAAUCCAUCUCUCAAAGCCCUAUCAUAUACGACAUCUCUGAGAUUCGCGCCGCCACCAACAACUUCCUCGCCAAACGCUACUCCACUGCCUCCACCUGCUGCUGGCGCUGUACUCUUAGGGACAGUGAGACGAUUGUCUUUCAGCGCAAGUUCCGCUGGAAAAUGGAAAUGUCACAGCUGAGAGAACAUCUAGGACUUAUCAGCCGAAGCCAUCAUACAAGCGUAGUCAAAUUACUGGGCGUUUCGAUAACAGGAGACUAUAUCUACCUCGUUUACGAGUUCAUCGCAGGCGCAAAUCUAGCCGAUUGUUUACGAAACGCGAGAAAUCCGGACUUCACGGUUCUCUCCUCUUGGAUUUCGCGAAUGCAGGUCGCCGCCGACCUGGCUCACGGACUCGAUUAUAUCCACAACCAAAUAGAGUUAAACUUAACCCUAGUCCAUAACCACAUCAAGAGCAGUGGUAUUAUCGUUACAGAGCCACAUUUCAAUGCCAAAAUUUGUCAUUUUGGUACUGCACAAUUGUGUGGGGAAGCGCAAGAGAAUAAGAACCGAAAAAAGAAGAGCUCAACUUCGACCGAAAUCACUGAAGCCAGCGAACAAGACAAAGAUAAAGAAGAUAGAUCGAAGGAUUUGAAAAGAUAUAAUAGUGGAGCUAUGCAAUUCGAAGGCGUGAGAGGCUACAUGUCGCCGGAAUUUCAAGCCAGAGGAAUAGCGACACAGGAAUCCGACGUGUACGCUUUCGGUGUAGUGAUAUUAGAGUUGUUAUCCGGUGAGGAACCAUUGAAAUACAAGUACGAUAAGAGCAAAGGCGAUUUCAUACGAACGUCAUUGAUAGAGACAGCAAGAGCGGCGAUUGACGGUGGCGACGAUGGUGAUGGAGGAAGAGAAGGGAGAUUAAGGAGGUGGAUGGAUAGGAGGCUGAAGGAUUCGUUCCCAGUGGACGUGGCGGAGAAACUGACAGUUCUAGCAGUACAGUGCGUACACGUGGAUCCAAAUAAGCGGCCAGACAUGGGACACGUGGCUGGGAAGAUAUCGAAGUGGUAUUUGGCUUCAAAAACGUGGUCCGAUAAUUUGCGGACGAUCUCUGACCAGAUUUCGGUCUCCUUGGCGCCUAGAUGAGUUGGAAACAGAAAAUUUGGCAGUUAUUUUUUUUUUUAUUUGCUUAUAUAUUAGGCUUUUUUUUUAAUUUAUUUUUUGAAAAUGAAAUUAUUGGGAUUUUGAAUUGAAGUUGUUUAUUCAAAGAAGGAUGAGGUUUAUCUAAUGAGGAUAGACCCAACCCAAACAAAAAUUUUAAAAAAUGUAAUAUAAUGAGCUGCUUGACGGGACAGAAGUGGAAUAAAU